GUCCUCUCGCCCCGCCCGCAUGACCUCGACCUCUCGCCCACUCCUCCUCUCCGUUCCUCCCGCAGCCGUUAGCCGCCGGAGACGCCCGCCACGCCCUUCGCCGGGGGAGCCGCCGCCGAGCCCGUCCGUCGCGCCCGAGCCACCGCCCUUCGCCGCGGGAGCCGCCGCCGAGCCCAUCCAUCGCGCCCGACCUGCCGCCUGGCACGGGCCAGGGUGCUGGCGACGCGAUGAAUCGUCCACGUCGGCCCCUCACCGAUCUGUGCCUGCUUUUGCAUCGUCAUGCCGCCGUCUUCAUCGACCUCUCACUGCGUACUGUUAUGGGUGGCCGGCGAACAAACCCACCUACUGCCAUAUUCGUCUCAAGAUUGAACGCACCUCACCCAUCGUUUCACAGGUCAGCCCCCAAUUUGUUGUGCCACCAUCCCUGUCACUGGUACAACAGAUCCAUUCGUUUUUUUCACAUUUGAGAGAAGAUGGAUAAGUAACAAAUUUGUGUCCAGAUUAUCUUCAGUUCGUGCUAUUUAUCCAUCAGUAUGUCAUACUCAUGUUUUGAUCCCAGAGACCCAUAUCCCAAUGUGUUUAUGUAUUUGUUGUUCAAGAGAUGAACAAAUGCGCUCCUGUCUGAUCGAUAUUUGUGAAUCUGCAAGCAAGGGUGAGCUACAAGGUAGCGACGCCGUGGGCGGCGGUGGCGAGGCUGGCCGCUGUUGGCAGGAGGAAUUCACCAUCGGCCCUCAAAUCCACCAUACUACGCUGCUGCACAAUCUCAACCAGGCGGGGAAUUCUUCUUAUGUGGCGCACAUUAACACUUAUCUGGGUGAAAACCCAUUCUUGAAGAAGAACUUGCCAAUCGACCCAUCCGGCAGUCAACUUAUUAGGGAUGGUGUUAUUUUCAGACCAUGAGAUGGAUUUCUAGAUAGCUACAGAGUCCUGCACAUUUACUCUUUGCACAUAAAUUGUCUGCUAGCCGUUGCUUAUGUUAAUUCAUUGCUGGAUCGUUUGUCAAUAGGUUGAUCAAUGUAGCUAUACCUGGAACCAUUAAUGAGAGAGCAAUAAAUAAGAAAAGAGUUCUUAACCCAUGGGACAUGAAUGAAAAUCAUACGCCGUGCCUCAACUCUGCACAGGCCAUUGGAUGUACUGUGUCAACAUUGGCAGGCAUGAUUUAGUGGAAGGAAGGGUAUAUUUUGGUAUCGAAUACUCUUGUCAUUGCUAAAUGUUGUGUAUCCUUUGGGCUUCUUCACUGUAUCCCAACAAAUAAACUAGCAUGAGCACUAUAUAAGCAACUGUUAUUAAAUACAAUUUUUUUGUUCGGCGGGCUAAUUGAGUUGUAGGACCAAGUAGAAUUUUACCAAGGGCACUUAAUUGGAGAUGGAAAGAACAGGUGCAUUGAAGUAGAUUACACGAUGGGUAAAGAACAAGCCAGAGUUCAAACUUCAUGUGCACCUUUGUUGUUGCUAGAUGCUUACUUGUCAUGGGAAUGUUCAUGAUCCGCGAGCCAGGGCAUUCGGUACUAACCAGUGACCAAGAAAAGAGUUGAAGGGGUGACACAUUAGGAGCACGAUAGCAUUUGAGGACUAGCCACAUGGUACCAUGUAAGUGCAUCUAGUGCACCUUAGUGAUUUUGGUGUAUUGAAGACUUAUAGGUUAAGGGACUAAUGUGUUUAUGAGUGUACACAGGUCUAUAAGUCUAUGAGGAGUUUGAU
Aegilops tauschii subsp. strangulata is the source of this 1700-nucleotide non-coding RNA. Lineage: Eukaryota; Viridiplantae; Streptophyta; Magnoliopsida; Poales; Poaceae. The record is from RefSeq and is a predicted model, not a curated record.